This 520-nucleotide ribosomal RNA is filed under the name uncultured Glomeromycotina. RNAcentral describes it as "SSU rRNA". It matches the Rfam family "Eukaryotic small subunit ribosomal RNA", at positions 569 to 1090 of the family's 1831-position model. Lineage: Eukaryota; Fungi; Glomeromycota. The record is from RNAcentral.
CGCAGCCGCGGUAAUUCCAGCUCCAAUAGCGUAUAUUAAAGUUGUUGCAGUUAAAAAGCUCGUAGUUGAAUUUCGGGGUCAGUAGGUUGGUCAUGCCUUCGGUAUGUACUGGUCUCACUGAUUCCUCCUUCUUGAAGAUCCGUAAUGUCAUUAAUUUGGUGUUGCGGGGAAUCAGGACUGUUACUUUGAAAAAAUUAGAGUGUUUAAAGCAGGCUAACGCUUGAAUACAUUAGCAUGGAAUAAUGAAAUAGGACGUUUGAUCCUAUUUUGUUGGUUUCUAGGAUUGACGUAAUGAUUAAUAGGGAUAGUUGGGGGCAUUAGUAUUCAAUUGUCAGAGGUGAAAUUCUUGGAUUUAUUGAAGACUAACUACUGCGAAAGCAUUUGCCAAGGAUGUUUUCAUUAAUCAAGAACGAAAGUUAGGGGAUCGAAGACGAUCAGAUACCGUCGUAGUCUUAACCAUAAACUAUGCCGACUAGGGAUCGGAUGAUGUUAAUUUUUUAAUGACUCAUUCGGCGCCUUA